This 424-nucleotide ribosomal RNA is filed under the name uncultured bacterium. Its description in RNAcentral is "partial 16S ribosomal RNA". It matches the Rfam family "Bacterial small subunit ribosomal RNA", at positions 354 to 795 of the family's 1533-position model. The record is from RNAcentral.
GUGGGGAAUCUUAGACAAUGGGCGCAAGCCUGAUCUAGCCAUGCCGCGUGAGCGAUGAAGGCCUUAGGGUUGUAAAGCUCUUUCGUGGGGGAAGAUAAUGACUGUACCCCAAGAAGAAGCCCCGGCUAACUCCGUGCCAGCAGCCGCGGUAAUACGGAGGGGGCUAGCGUUGUUCGGAAUUACUGGGCGUAAAGCGCACGUAGGCGGACUGGAAAGUCAGGGGUGAAAUCCCGGGGCUCAACCCCGGAACUGCCUUUGAAACUCCCAGUCUUGAGUUCGAGAGAGGUGAGUGGAAUUCCGAGUGUAGAGGUGAAAUUCGUAGAUAUUCGGAGGAACACCAGUGGCGAAGGCGGCUCACUGGCUCGAUACUGACGCUGAGGUGCGAAAGCGUGGGGAGCAAACAGGAUUAGAUACCCCGGUAGUC